GAUGAAGAACGCAGCGAAAUGCGAUACGUAAUGUGAAUUGCAAAUUCAGUGAAUCAUCGAGUCUUUGAACGCACAUUGCGCCCCCUGGUAUUCCGGGGGGCAUGCCUGUCCGAGCGUCAUUGCUGCCCUCAAGCACGGCUUGUGUGUUGGGCCCCGUCCUCGGAUCCCGGGGGACGGGCCCGAAAGGCAGCGGCGGCACCGCGUCCGGUCCUCGAGCGUAUGGGGCUUUGUCACCCGCUCUGUAGGCCCGGCCGGCGCUUGCCGAUCAACCCAAAUUUUUAUCCAGGUUGACCUCGGAUCAGGUAGGGAUACCCGCUGAACUUAAGCAUAUCAAUAAGCGGAGGA
This 345-nucleotide unclassified non-coding RNA is filed under the name soil metagenome. RNAcentral's name for it is "partial contains 5.8S ribosomal RNA, internal transcribed spacer 2, and large subunit ribosomal RNA". The stretch from base 1 to 119 matches the Rfam family "5.8S ribosomal RNA", at positions 35 to 154 of the family's 154-position model. The record is from RNAcentral.